GAUGAAGAACGCAGCGAAAUGCGAUAAGUAAUGUGAAUUGCAGAAUUCAGUGAAUCAUCGAAUCUUUGAACGCACAUUGCGCCCCUUGGUAUUCCGAGGGGCAUGCCUGUUCGAGCGUCAUUAUAACCCCUCAAGCUCAGCUUGGUGUUGGGGCCUGCUGCACUGGCAGCCCUUAAAAUCAGUGGCGGCGCCAUCUGGCUCUAAGCGUAGUAAUUCUUCUCGCUAUGGAGUCCUGGUGGAUGCUUGCCAUCAACCCCCAAUUUUUCUAUGGUUGACCUCGGAUCAGGUAGGGAUACCCGCUGAACUUAAGCAUAUUAAUAAGCGGAGGA
Molecule: unclassified non-coding RNA, 329 nt
Filed under: soil metagenome
Description: partial contains 5.8S ribosomal RNA, internal transcribed spacer 2, and large subunit ribosomal RNA
Rfam family: 5.8S ribosomal RNA (bases 1-120)
Source: RNAcentral